UGGGGAAUAUUGCGCAAUGGGCGAAACCCUGAUCCAGCCAUUCCGCGUGAGUGAAGAAGGCCUUCGGGUUGUAAAGCUCUUUCGGCAGGAACGAAACGGUUUGGGCUAAUACCCCAGACUACUGACGGUACCUGAAGAAGAAGCACCGGCUAAUUACGUGCCAGCAGCCGCGGUAAUACGUAGGGUGCGAGCGUUAAUCGGAUUUACUGGGCGUAAAGCAUGCGCAGGCGGCGGUUCAAGUCAGGUGUGAAAUCCCCGAGCUUAACUUGGGAAUUGCGCUUGAAACUAGAUCGCUAGAGUACGGCAGAGGGGGGUAGAAUUCCACGUGUAGCAGUGAAAUGCGUAGAGAUGUGGAGGAACACCGAUGGCGAAGGCAGCCCCCUGGGCCUGUACUGACGCUCAUGCAUGAAAGCGUGGGGAGCAAACAGGAUUAGAUACCCCAGUAGUCCCUGAGCGGGCUGGCAAGGCGCAU
Molecule: ribosomal RNA, 472 nt
Filed under: uncultured bacterium
Lineage: Bacteria
Description: bacterial SSU rRNA
Rfam family: Bacterial small subunit ribosomal RNA
Source: RNAcentral